Cyprinus carpio carpio is the source of this 1673-nucleotide long non-coding RNA. The record is from Ensembl. NCBI's taxonomy places the organism in Eukaryota, Metazoa, Chordata, Actinopteri, Cypriniformes, Cyprinidae.
GUUGGUGAAAGCUCUGCAGUCAUAUUCCCCUGUUUUCACGUGCUCGGAGCAGCAGUGCAGAAAUGCUCGAGCAGAUGAUCAUAGCAAUGUCUGUUCUCCUGACCCUCUUCCAUGCCGAACUUACUGAAUCCUCCUCAAGCUGCUAUCAUGAGCAAGCCGAAAUAAAAAGAGUGGAUGAAAAUGCAACAGCAUUUGUGUCCUGUCCAGCACUUGCAGUGCAUAAAAAACCAUCUAUCACUCUAUACAAGGGAAAUACAAAGCUGCACUCAACAAACCUGAGUGAUGUGGACAGUAAUAAAACAUGGCAGCGUUUUCAGGUGUACAUACAAAACUCCUCAGUCUCAUAUAAGAUUUUAAGGACUGAAGCCAAUGACACAGGACUCUACAACUGCGUAAUCGACACGCACAUCAGGACAAAGGAUUCACUAACUAUGUUGCUCAUUAAAGACGGUCUGCUGCCCAUAGAAUCAACUGUAACUUGUCCCACUGAUCAGAUACUGCCACUUAUUGUUGGCUGUGUGGUCAUCAUUGUAUAUAAUCUGUUCGUCACUGUCUUUGGCUGUUACCUCAAAUAUAAACUCAAGAACACAGAGCCAGCUGAGAAUCCCUACAUAAACACAAGACCAAGAGGAUUCAGACGACGCUAAUGAGCUCAGCAUCCAGCAAAUAUCAGCAGCGUUGCAAUAUGUCAGUCUUCCACUGGCUGUUACAUUAGUACCUCCUAUCAGCUGAGCAGUACUGCCCAGAGAGUGUAUUAAACAGAUCUACUAAUUGUUCUUGUAUCUAUUGCUGUUGUAUAUUCUGUAUAUAUACAGUGUAUGUAUGUAUGUACACUGGGGGUCAAAGGUUUGGAAUAAUUAGGAAUUUUUAUGUUUUUGAAAGUGUCUUACGUUCAACAAGUCUGCAUUUAUUUGAUGAGUAAAAAUAAAGUAAAAUGGUAAUAUUGUGACAUAUUAUUAUGUUUUCCAUUCUAAUAUAUUUUAAAAUGUAAAAAAUAUAAUUCCAAAUAUGUUUAUUUGGUGCUGAAAGAAAACCAUUUUUUAUUGGUAAGUUAUUUGUUAUUUUUUAAAGAAAUUAAUAAUAAAGCAAGGAUGCAUUACAAAUCUUAGAUGUUUAAUUAUUCUAAUGUUAGAAAAAUAUUUUUAUUUCAAAUAAAUGCUGUUCUUUAGCACCUUCUAAUAAUCAAAGAACCCUGAAGAAAAUGUAUGACUGUUUUCAACUGCUGGAUACUUCAGCUGCUUUCAACACUGAUCAUAAGAAAAAGAUAUGUUUCUUAAGCAGCAAAUUGCCAUAUUAGAAUGAUUUUGAUCCCCAGUGGGUGUGUAUUUACACUGAAACACUAUGAUGCUCUGACUUUAAAUGAAACCUGCUCAUUGUUGCAAACAUCUUUGAUUCUGGCAUUUCUUCAGUGUGACUUGUGUGGGAUUUGAAAUGAUGAUUUAGAGAAAAAUACAGUCUAUUUAAUUUUACAGAGUCAAGCUAAUCCAGAUCAUUUUGCAUAAGACAAUGAAUGCAUGAUCUGUUAGGCUACAACAAUAUUACAGCUAUAGAAGAUCCCACCUCAGAUUUUCUGCAUCUGCAAUUACAGUGUUGUCUUUAUUAUGCUUUAUAUGCUACAUGAAAAUCUGCAGCCCACUGUAAACACUGUAAAUAUACUAUUAUAUCAGUUUAAU